RNAcentral lists this ribosomal RNA (397 nucleotides) under uncultured bacterium. RNAcentral describes it as "bacterial SSU rRNA". It matches the Rfam family "Bacterial small subunit ribosomal RNA", at positions 8 to 435 of the family's 1533-position model. The record is from RNAcentral.
AGAGUUUGAUCCUGGCUCAGAGCGAACGCUGGCGGCAGGCCUAACACAUGCAAGUCGAGCGCCCCGCAAGGGGAGCGGCAGACGGGAGAGUAACACGUGGGAACGUGCCCUUUGGUUCGGAACAACACAGGGAAACUUGUGCUAAUACCGGAUAAGUCCGUAAGGAGAAAGAUUUAUCGCCAAAGGAUCGGCCCGCGUCUGAUUAGCUUGUUGGUGAGGUAACGGCUCACCAAGGCGACGAUCAGUAGCUGGUCUGAGAGGAUGAUCAGCCUCACUGGGACUGAGACACGGCCCAGACUCCUACGGGAGGCAGCAGUGGGGAAUAUUGGACAAUGGGCGCAAGCCUGAUCCAGCCAUGCCGCGUGGAUGAUGAAGGCCCUAGGGUUGUAAAGUCCUU